GAAACGUGUGGCGUAUUAGGGAUCAUGGCUGAUUGUAUCCCCAGACCUUCCAGCUCUGGGAAGUUACUUAUGGCACAUAACAAAGGUAUAUAUCGAUUCUAAGAUUGUUUUAUGUUCAAUAUUUUAUUAGAGUUUCCUCUUCAUAUAAUUUUUUUUGGGAAUUCCAAAGUAAGCUGUUAGAUAGUGAACCUGCAAUGUCCUGCCCAGGUUCAUGGUUUCAGAUUGUGUCACUGUUUUGAAGGCUGUGCAGCGUUUAGGCAGCAAGCUAGUAGCAGUAGGUCAUUAGGUGAGGGCCUGGGGAAGCUAUGCCUACUCCUAAUUUGGCCUGUGUUCUCUCCUUCCUGUCUGCUGUGCUGUGAACAAGCCACCGCUUCAUGCUUUUGUGGUCAUAGAAGGUCAGAGCAUGCUGACAGAGCAAUUCCUGAGAUUCCAGGUAGCCCAGUCUGGAUAAGAGACUGAUGUACCAUAUUUGAAAGUUCCAACUUCUACUGCUCAGCCCAGGACCCAUACAAAAGGUAAUAGAAAAUUCUCAACAACCUGGGGAGAUCAAGAAGGCAUGAGCACUCUUUAUCAGAAAAUCACAGGGAGAAACUUCAGAGAUAAACUAAUAUCCUGGUCCCAAUAAUUAUUCUACAAAAGAAAGCUAAGAGACAC
This 654-nucleotide long non-coding RNA is filed under the name Mus spicilegus (steppe mouse). RNAcentral's name for it is "lncRNA (ENSMSIG00000010963.1)". Lineage: Eukaryota; Metazoa; Chordata; Mammalia; Rodentia; Muridae. The record is from RNAcentral.